This 258-nucleotide unclassified non-coding RNA is filed under the name Basidiomycota sp. RNAcentral's name for it is "partial contains small subunit ribosomal RNA, internal transcribed spacer 1, and 5.8S ribosomal RNA". The stretch from base 1 to 47 matches the Rfam family "Eukaryotic small subunit ribosomal RNA", at positions 1785 to 1831 of the family's 1831-position model. The record is from RNAcentral. Lineage: Eukaryota; Fungi; Basidiomycota.
AAAGUCGUAACAAGGUUUCCGUAGGUGAACCUGCGGAAGGAUCAUUAUUGAAAUCCUUAGGAUGUUGCUGGCCUUUCGGGGCAUGUGCACUCCGCCUUUUCAAUUCACCUGUGAACUCAUUGUAGGCCGGACUUGUUAACUCAAGUCUGUGUCUAUGUUUUUAUACACCCUAUUAAAAAGUUUAACAGAAUGUCAUAUCAGACCUUUACUGGUCGAAAUAAAUUAAUACAACUUUCAACAAUGGAUCUCUUGGUUCUC